RNAcentral lists this ribosomal RNA (440 nucleotides) under uncultured bacterium. RNAcentral's name for it is "partial 16S ribosomal RNA". It matches the Rfam family "Bacterial small subunit ribosomal RNA", at positions 338 to 795 of the family's 1533-position model. The record is from RNAcentral.
CCUACGGGAGGCAGCAGUGGGGAAUAUUGGGCAAUGGAGGCAACUCUUACCCAGCAAUGCCGCGUGAAUGAAGAAGGUCUUCGGAUUGUAAACCUCUGUCUUUGGGGACGAAUUGAGACGGUACCCAAGGAGGAAGCUCCGGCUAACUACGUGCCAGCAGCCGCGGUAAUACGUAGGGAGCAAGCGUUGUCCGGAAUUACUGGGUGUAAAGGGAGCGUAGGCGGGAUAGUAAGUUGAGUGUUAAAACUAUCGGCUCAACUGGUAGAUGCGAUCAAAACUGCAAUUCUUGAGUGAAGUAGAGGCAGGCGGAAUUCCUAGUGUAGCGGUGAAAUGCGUAGAUAUUAGGAGGAACACCAGUGGCGAAGGCGGCCUGCUGGGCUUUAACUGACGCUGAGGCUCGAAAGUGUGGGUAGCAAACAGGAUUAGAUACCCGGGUAGUC